UAGGGAAUCUUCGGCAAUGGGGGCAACCCUGACCGAGCAACGCCGCGUGAGUGAAGAAGGUUUUCGGAUCGUAAAGCUCUGUUGUAAGAGAAGAACGAGUGUGAGAGUGGAAAGUUCACACUGUGACGGUAACUUACCAGAAAGGGACGGUUAACUACGUGCCAGCAGCCGCGGUAAUACGUAGGUCCCGAGCGUUAUCCGGAUUUAUUGGGCGUAAAGCGAGCGCAGGCGGUUAGAUAAGUCUGAAGUUAAAGGCUGUGGCUUAACCAUAGUACGCUUUGGAAACUGUUUAACUUGAGUGCAGAAGGGGAGAGUGGAAUUCCAUGUGUAGCGGUGAAAUGCGUAGAUAUAUGGAGGAACACCGGUGGCGAAAGCGGCUCUCUGGUCUGUAACUGACGCUGAGGCUCGAAAGCGUGGGGAGCAAACAGGAUUAGAUACCCUGGUAGUCCACGCCGUAAACGAUGAGUGCUAGGUGUUGGGUCCUUUCCGGGACUCAGUGCCGCAGCUAACGCAUUAAGCACUCCGCCUGGGGAGUACGACCGCAAGGUUG
This 550-nucleotide ribosomal RNA is filed under the name uncultured bacterium. RNAcentral's name for it is "bacterial SSU rRNA". It matches the Rfam family "Bacterial small subunit ribosomal RNA", at positions 355 to 896 of the family's 1533-position model. The record is from RNAcentral.